This 781-nucleotide long non-coding RNA is filed under the name Brassica rapa (field mustard). RNAcentral describes it as "long non-coding RNA (BRAP_LNC004431)". Lineage: Eukaryota; Viridiplantae; Streptophyta; Magnoliopsida; Brassicales; Brassicaceae. The record is from RNAcentral.
UCUGUUACUCUCACUAUAUUAGAAAUGGUCGAACCGUAAACCAAUUAAGGAUGAUGUAAGGAAGACAUAAAGAUGUAUUUCCAGUUAUCACAAAUAUAUAAUCAAUUGACAACAACUUCAUUAUGUCCAGCGUAGGACAACGUAGAAGAGUUUCCGUACCUUCUAAUAUUAUAAUAUCUCACUAUAUUUGUAGCUAAAUCAGUUUUCUCUAGCAUAAAUACUCACUCCAUUCUUGGAGUUUAAGCUUUUCUAUAUGAUGAUAUUAGUAGUUUGAUCCCAAAAAAAAAACGGUCGAACUGUACAUUGUAAUUGGAGAAAGAAAACAAACAAAAAUCAACCGAAGAAUUUUAAGGUAUAUGAAACAAAGAUUGGAAAUAACAAUUCUUUGCAAUUAAAGAAUAAGACAAUAAAAUUGUAAAAAUAAAAAAUAAAACAAAAAAAUAUACACAGAAAGAAAGAUUUAGUAAAAUAAAAUCAUAAUAUAGUUUCCAUAAUUGAUUGUGCUCAGUUACACUAAAAAUCUAAAUUUACAACAUACACAAUUUUAUUUACAUAUUUAAACCUAUUAUCUAACUAAAAUGAUUCUAAAAAAAGUGCCAGCAUGAAGAGUUAGAAAUAUACGAUAAAAUAUAAUACAUAAUGUUAAAAAUACAUUAUCACUCAUCACUAAAAAAACAUGUUAGUAGUAAUAAAAAUGAAAUGACAACACAUUUAUUAAAACCAUAGAACGACACGCAACAAGGUGUUAUUAAAUAUACAAACUAAAAAUUAAAUAUGCUCA